RNAcentral lists this transfer RNA (76 nucleotides) under Actinomadura logoneensis. Its description in RNAcentral is "Actinomadura sp. NEAU-G17 tRNA-Arg". It matches the Rfam family "tRNA". Rfam says of the family: Transfer RNA (tRNA) molecules are approximately 80 nucleotides in length. Their secondary structure includes four short double-helical elements and three loops (D, anti-codon, and T loops). Lineage: Bacteria; Bacillati; Actinomycetota; Actinomycetes; Streptosporangiales; Thermomonosporaceae. The record is from RNAcentral.
GCCUCCGUAGCUCAGGGGAUAGAGCACCGCUCUCCUAAAGCGGGUGCCGCAGGUUCGAAUCCUGCCGGGGGCACAA